GUUUCCGUAGGUGAACCUGCGGAAGGAUCAUUAUUGUAUAACCGAGGUGCGAGGGCUGUCGCUGACCCGAAAGGUCGUGCACGCCCGAGUGCCCUCACACACAUCCAUCUCACCCCUAUGUGCACCACCGCGUGGGUCCCCCUUUGGCUUGUUCGGAGGGGGGCUUACGUUUUCCUACAAACUUUGUAUGCAGUGUAGAAUGUAUUCUUUGUUUUUGCGAUCACGCAAUCAAUACAACUUUCAACAACGGAUCUCUUGGCUCUC
Molecule: unclassified non-coding RNA, 264 nt
Filed under: plant metagenome
Description: partial contains small subunit ribosomal RNA, internal transcribed spacer 1, and 5.8S ribosomal RNA
Source: RNAcentral